Molecule: ribosomal RNA, 788 nt
Filed under: uncultured Lactobacillus sp.
Lineage: Bacteria; Bacillati; Bacillota; Bacilli; Lactobacillales; Lactobacillaceae
Description: bacterial SSU rRNA
Rfam family: Bacterial small subunit ribosomal RNA
Source: RNAcentral
GACGAACGCUGGCGGCGUGCCUAAUACAUGCAAGUCGAGCGAGCUUGCCUAGAUGAAUUUGGUGCUUGCACCAAAUGAAACUAGAUACAAGCGAGCGGCGGACGGGUGAGUAACACGUGGGUAAUCUGCCCAAGAGACUGGGAUAACACCUGGAAACAGAUGCUAAUACCGGAUAACAACACUAGACGCAUGUCUAGAGUUUAAAAGAUGGUUCUGCUAUCACUCUUGGAUGGACCUGCGGUGCAUUAGCUAGUUGGUAAGGUAACGGCUUACCAAGGCAAUGAUGCAUAGCCGAGUUGAGGGACUGAUCGGCCACAUUGGGACUGAGACACGGCCCAAACUCCUACGGGAGGCAGCAGUAGGGAAUCUUCCACAAUGGACGCAAGUCUGAUGGAGCAACGCCGCGUGAGUGAAGAAGGGUUUCGGCUCGUAAAGCUCUGUUGGUAGUGAAGAAAGAUAGAGGUAGUAACUGGCCUUUAUUUGACGGUAAUUACUUAGAAAGUCACGGCUAACUACGUGCCAGCAGCCGCGGUAAUACGUAGGUGGCAAGCGUUGUCCGGAUUUAUUGGGCGUAAAGCGAGUGCAGGCGGUUCAAUAAGUCUGAUGUGAAAGCCUUCGGCUCAACCGGAGAAUUGCAUCAGAAACUGUUGAACUUGAGUGCAGAAGAGGAGAGUGGAACUCCAUGUGUAGCGGUGGAAUGCGUAGAUAUAUGGAAGAACACCAGUGGCGAAGGCGGCUCUCUGGUCUGCAACUGACGCUGAGGCUCGAAAGCAUGGGUAGCGAACAGG